This 27-nucleotide non-coding RNA is filed under the name Homo sapiens (human). Lineage: Eukaryota; Metazoa; Chordata; Mammalia; Primates; Hominidae. The record is from RNAcentral.
GGCAAAGGACGAGACACCAGUGCCUGU